RNAcentral lists this ribosomal RNA (254 nucleotides) under uncultured bacterium. RNAcentral describes it as "partial 16S ribosomal RNA". It matches the Rfam family "Bacterial small subunit ribosomal RNA", at positions 524 to 776 of the family's 1533-position model. The record is from RNAcentral.
UACGUAGGGGGCAAGCGUUGUCCGGAAUUAUUGGGCGUAAAGAGCGCGUAGGCGGUCCGAUAAGUCGGCUGUGAAAGUCCAGGGCUCAACCCUGGAAAGCCGGCCGAUACUGUCGGACUAGAGUCCGGAAGAGGCGAGUGGAAUUCCCGGUGUAGCGGUGAAAUGCGCAGGAUAUCGGGAGGAACACCAGUGGCGAAGGCGACUCACUGGCCCGAUACUGACGCUGAGGCGCGAAAGCGUGGGGAGCGAACAGG